UUUUUUAAUCUCAUGCGUUGGUUUUAAUUACCAUGCUUGUGCCGCGUUGACUCAAGUCUAUCAUGGUACGCGCGCUGGUGGCCACUUGAUUUGUCACCUCAAUUAAUGAGGGAGAUCAAGUGGUCCAGGUUUUUUCUGAUUAUUUGAAUUUCAUUUUAAUUGCUUUAUUUUCGUUAAUUCAUAUUAAUUUUAAUAUUGAUCCAAAAAAUAUGAGAGUUUCACCAAAAAAAUUCAAAUAAUUCCCUCUUUCAUAUUUUGAAUUAAAAUUAUUUUUUGGAUCAUUAUUAAUAUUUUCAUGAUUUAAUUGAUUUUUCAUUUGUUUUUAAUUGUUUAAAAAUACUUUUAAAUCUUUAAAAAUUCUGAAAUUUUUUCUCCAAGGUCCUUUGACCUUGUUUGACCCAUGAUAAAUCUCAUGGCCAUUUAUUUGAUGUUUUGAUUAGGUUUUAGGAAUUUGACAAACCAUAUUCAAUUUAAAUGUAUUAUUUUAGUAUUUUUAAUUUGAAUAAAUGCCAAAUAAUUUUGUUGACCAAUUGUGAUGACUUGUUUGUGUUUGACUCUUGUUGUUGGGCCUUCGGUCAAGGUUGAUUUGACUUUGUCAAGUUAAUAUCAUUGGAUUUAGGGGAUUGAUGGAAUGUACAUUCCAUCUCCUAAAAUAAAUGGAUGAUAUUAAUUUGUAAAAGUCUUCCUUUGAUAAAUUUGAGUUUUCAUCUAUUCCCCUCCCACUUCAUCUCAUUCCCCUUCUUUAUGCAUUCAUCCCAUUUGGCCUAUGAUAUCUCAAAGUCCUAAAGCUAGUUGAUUGAAAAAUUAACAUGAGUAUGGAUGAGAAUAGGCCACACCUUUUGCAUAUUCUUUUGUGUGUGGUAUGUUUCAUGAGCAUAGUCCAUAAUACUAUGUCUCUAACAUGCCAUUAACACCAAAAUUCUAUUGCCCGACCUCAAAUAGUUGUGACUUCUGCAUAAGUCCAAUUACGAUUGCUUAACAUAGCGCUAAAUCCGGUGACAUAAAAGGCAUAGCAUUCUAGUUAGUGAGAUUGUAAGUCUCCCCUCUUUCAUGGUAUUGUGUGGAAACUUGGCCUUUUUUCCUUCCUUUGGAAGAUGUCUUGGUUCAAGGAUUCAUGCUUGUGAUAAGUGGGUUGAGUGUUCUCCAAAGAAUGUCUAAAAAUGAAAAGAAAAAGCAAAAUAAUACUAACUUCUAACCUAUUAACAACUAACUUUUAAUUUCAAGCCAUUUACUUUAAUGUCAUUUAAGUCUAGCUUUUAUACAUUUGCCAUUGUUCAUAUCAUUCUAAUUAUUUAUGUUAAUGCAAUUUUCACUUUGUCCACUUGGACCAUAUUGUGUGAUAUUCCUUGUGUGUAUACUUUGCUUGUUUGUGUGGUCUUUGAGCAUUAAUGUACAUAAUAACAACAAAAACCCUAAAAUAACUUUUGUGUGGACUGUUGGCUUAAUCUUGGACAAAUGGACUUAGAACUUAGGCAACACUCCUAUGCUAAAGGACUUGGCCAAUGCCAACUUGUUGAGAAACCAAGUGCUUGCAAUUUGAAACUUCAUCUGAUACAUCAUUCAAGAUCCCUUUGAGUUCAUCUACAACAUGAUCAUUGUGAAGUUGUUAUUUUGAACCUGUGACUUGUGGAAUUCAUCUGUUACAUGUGCUAUUUUAAAGAAGAUCAUGGAAUGGCAAAAGCUUGGAUGUGGCUAUCUUUAUUUGAUGCCUAUGCUCUUCAAUAUAAUAUAAUUGUGCAUUUGUGUGUUGCUUGAUUGUAAAAGUCUAAGGGAAUUCUGGGUUUCUAUUGAUAUUCUUGUCUAUGGGAUAGCUACCCAUUUGGUCAGAUCUUUUCAACUCUCAACUUUUAAUUUUGUGCAUAGGAUUAGUCUCUUCAUCUUCUCCCCAAUUCUUUAAUUUCAAAAUCUCUCCCUCCCUUUUCAAAAUCUUCUUUGAUUGAACUUAUUUUGUUCUAAACUUUGACCACUUUGCAAAAAAGAUAGAAACUUUGGCCUUAUGCCAUUGCAUUCUCAAACUUCUUUUCUUAAAUCAAACUUGUAAAUAAACUUAACCAUACUUGACUUUAACUUUCAAAAAAGCCAAAAAGAACUACCUCAUUCAAACCAUUUUUAGGCCUUUGUGCCUUUCAAACUUAAUUUCUAUUAAAAUCAAUGCAUCCACUUUAAAAUUUGUAUCACGAACUACGAGGUUUUGAUCCCUCAUUUUUAUGUUGGUACGUAGGCAUAAGACCGAAGGUCUUGCCAAACACAAAAAUAUAUUUAAUGAAUUCUUUUCUCAUCCCCCAUUCUAUUUUGUUUGUAAACAUCAUUUUAUACAAAAUACAUAUGCACACAAAAAGGGCUCUCUAGGAGUACCUAGGACACUUUGGGUGUUAACACCUUCCCUGUGUAACCAACCCCCUUACCUGUAAUCUCUGACAUUUUAUUAGUUUUAAUUUGAAAACUUUUUACUUUUGGGUUUUGUUCGUACAUUUUCCCUUUUCCCUUGGAAACAAUAACAGCGCGGUGGCGACUUUUGUUAUUUGAUCUCUAGCUUAUCCAUAGCUUGAUGAUCAUGAAAUUACCGCUACAAAAUGAUCGUGAAACAAAUAGGUCAACUUUUAACUAAUAAAAUUAAUUAAUUAAAAUUCAAUUAAGCCAUCUAAUUAAGGUAAUUAAAAUUAAUUAUCAAAAUUAUUCAAUUAAAAAUUAAUGUAAUCAAAUAAUUAAGUUAAUUAAAAUUAGUUAACGAAAUUAUCUAAUUAAUCAAGACUUUAAUUAAUUAAUCAAUUUAGAAAAAGAAAUAAGUGACAAUAUUGAAUAUUAAAUAAUCGAAUCGAAUCAGCCACUAUAUGCUCAUAAACCGGUCUGUAAAAUGCCACAAUGGAACUGGAAUGACAUCUGUGAAGAUCAAAACGCGGUGAAAUGCCACAUUUGAUUUGUUGGAUCCGCGAAUUAAAAUUCCAUUUUAAGCGCAAUGAAGACCCAAUAGCAACCCAAUCAAUAUAUGACAUGUAACACUAAUAUUAACAAUGAUUAUAAAAUAAUACCAAACUUUUGCUUUCUCUUAUUCAUGUGAAGUUCAUAUACAUGACAAUAACAUUUCCUCAACUUCACGCUCUUGAAUUAACAAAUUGAUUAAUUAUUCAUCACCAAUUUCCACACUUCAAAUAAUAAUCUAAAACCGAACUCUGACUUUUCAUAUUAAGGCAUAUAUCAUGUUUUGAGAAAAGACAAUGUACUUAUUAACAAAAGAAAAGAAUUAGAAAAAAAAGAUUGUCAAUACAAUGAACACAAUGUAUUAGAGUGGAAUAACCAAGGCUAUGAAUACAAUGCCUCGUUACGAGCCUCCCUGGAAUAAUAAUAUCAUCAUCACCUAACCAAUGUUCAAAUUAAAACACCAAAGACUAUGAAGGAUUCAGUGCGUCUUAAAGUCACAACAACAAGCAUAAUCCCACAACAGUAUACAUCCCCUUUAUAAAUUUAUAUUAAACUUAGAUUUUAAUAUUAUUGAAAGAACUAAAUCCAAACUUAAAUGUAUAAGUUAAACAUAAACAAUUAGCCAAAAGGAAACAGUGGAGCGUUACCUAAACAACUAUAUGGUCGGAGAUCGUGGGCGGAGAUUUGGGCUGUCGCUCAGAAAUCGCGGUUGUUGGCGACGAUUUAGGGAUAUCGACGGUGAGUGGUUGUUGUUGGAGGAAGGGGGCGUCGCCGACGAUUAAGAAGGUUUGAUGUGAGAGUAGGUGUGAAAAGGAGGAAACGGCGGUUUCACGGUGGGUUUCGCGAUGGUGGUGUAGUGGAUGUCAUUCGUCGGAAAGGAGAAGAGGAGUUGUUGUGACGGCUGGUCCAGGCGGUGGAUUUAUUGGAGAUUUAGAUGGAGCUUCCGGUGAGGGAGGGGUCGCGGAUGGAGGUCGAAGGUAGUUUCCGACGGUGGUGGUUGGAGUUUGGGAUUUCGCGGCGACGAGAUGAAGAGUGAAUGGGUUAUGCGUUGUUGUUAGGUUGGAACGCGGACGGAGGUUUGCCGGCGGUGAGCGGAUCUGUGUUGAUUCCGACGGAAGGAAGGCGGUUGUUUGGCGCUGUGGAGAAGAAUAGGGAACAAUUUCUUUCUCUUUUUAUUUUCCUCCCCUUUCUUCAUGUUCAGAGGGAGAGAUUAUCAUUUUGGAGAGUGAGAGGACUGGUUUUCUUGUGGUCCUCUCUCUUAUUUUCUUUAUCGUUUUCUUUUUUCUAUUUUCUUGAUUUUUUGCUAAGAGAGAGUGAUUAUUGAGGAGUCAGGUCAGUCCCCUAGAGAGAGAAGAGAGGUCGCCUUUUAUUUUGUGGAUUCCCUUUUUUUUUUAUCGUUUUCCUUUCUUUUAGCGGACCGUUGGAGACCCUUAGUGGAGAUAGAUGCGUGCUAGCUGUCACCUUUUUCCAGCGAGCGAGAGAGAGGAUUUGGAAGAAACUUUUUAUUUUAUUUAUUUUCAGAUUUUUUUAAUAAUAAUAUUAAUUAAAUCUCAAAUUUUGAUUGGAUAAAGGGGAUAAGUGUGAAUUGCUAAUUAGGAGCAUUGAUUAAUUUGAAUCGAUGAUUCAGAUUAAAUCAAAGAAGCACAAACAAUUUAAAAUGGCAAAGUUCCCCUUCUAGAUGAUUUAAAUGGAAUUAAAUCAAUGAAUUCAAAUAAAAUUCACAACUUUUCACAUAAUCAUGAUAAAAUUAAAAUAAGAGCAUGGAAAAUUCUAUUUAUUUAAUCUGGAAAUUUUGGCGAAAGAAUAAAAUUAAAACGAAUAAAAAUAAAUAAAAGUCGGGCGAAAAUUAUCUUGAAAAAUUAAAUCGGAUGCACUAAAAUGAUCAGCACGAAAUAUACUUAUUAAAAAAAUACAGUGUUUCUUUAAAUUCUAAAAUAAAUUUUCACCGGUUAAAAGGCUCAAACAGAUUAAAAUGCAACUGAAAAAGUCGUCGAAAAAUAUAACGAGCACACCAGGCUGAACCACGUGAACUGUAGAUUAAUAAUACUGGCGUGUGUAAGUUUGAUUUCGAAACUUUUUACCCGCUGAUUUUGCACGUACUUGAGGAAUGAUUUAACCAAUUUGACUGUAUAUUCGAGAAUUCAUUUCGAUUGAUAUUUUAGGUAUUAUUCAUGAUGAAGUGCAUUUUAUGCUGUACAUAUGAUGCAAACUGAAAUUAAAAUCGAAUUUAUAAAAGUUUUAAAAUGCCCGGACAAAAUUGGGGUACGAAAAGACUCGAAUUUUGUCCUUUGGAAACACAAGGAAGAAAUGCAGAAAGAAAAUGCAGUGAGAAAUACAGUAAGAAAUGUUUUUAGGAGGUAAAAUGAAACAAUCAAGACUCUCUGGGAAUCGUCAUAACAAUAUCUCGGAUGUCACAAUCGAGAUUUUCCAACAAUGGAAUGAUACCUCAACUGUACCUAAGACUUUCUGAGCAUUAGCAGAACAACGUCUUGAUUUGAAUGCAUGAGAUUCUCUGAGUAUCAAUGAAGCAAUAUCCCAUAUGAUAUAAUCAAGAUAUUCCGACAAGGGAAUGAUACCUCAAUCGUAUUUAAGAUUCUCCGAGGACACCUAGAUCAGUAUCUCUAAAAGUUGAAUGAGACUCUUCAUAUCGAUGAAGUAGUAUCUUAAACAGAUAAAUGAGAUUCUCUAUAUCACACUGAAGCAACAUCUUAUAUGAUAGAAUUACGAUAUUCCAACAUGGGGAAUGAUACCUUAAUUGAAUCUAAGACUUUUCAAGGAUACUAGAGAAGUAUCUCAAAAAACAAGUGAGAUUCUUCAUAUUGAUGAAGCAGUAUCUCAAAUAUUCGUCUGUUGGGGGAAAUAUCUUAGAAAAGACUCUUUUUGGAGGAGAUUUACUGGAAAAGCUCUGUAGGGGGAAAGCUCAUAAGAGACUUUUUAUGGUAACCUCUGCUUGGAGAGGAAUGAUAGCAAAGAAAAUGUUUGGAAUAUCAUUAUUAAUCAUAAAGUUGAAAAAUGAUUUGCUGAGAAAUAAUUCCACGAGCACAUGCAGGGUAAUAACUUUAUUUAGAAAUAAGGAAAGUUGGGGAUGCAUAUGAAUGACCCUGGAUCCUGAUAUUUUGGUGUGAUUUUUGUAUGAUAUUCCACUUUAGGUGGAAAUACCAUGCAUGGGAUGAUGCAUGAUAUACAUUCAGGGAUGCAAUUGCUGGGGAUAUUUAGGAUGUGCAUGGGAAUGUAACUGAUUUUUGAUUUUAUAUAAGGUUAUGCAUAAGUAUGCUGAUGAUUGGUGGUAUCAUGUUUGAUGAAUUUUUCAGUUUGGUAGGAAAAUAAUUUAUGAAUGAUUCAUGUGAUGCAUGUGGGAAUACAAAUGGGUAACUGUAUAUUUUUGUAGGGCUUUAUUUUUUCAAUGAGAUUGUUGGAGAAUAUCAUCAUCAAAGGGUUGAUGGAAAGGUAAUUGUCAUCGUCAAAGAGUUGACGGAAAGGUAAAUGGCAUCAUUAGAGGGCUGAUGGUAAUUAAUUUGUUGUAAAAUGUCAUCAUCAGAGGGCUGAUGGAAAAGAAUUUGUCAUCGUCAAAGGGUUGACAAAAAGAAAUAAAGGAUGUCAUCACCAAAGGGUUGGUGGAAUAAAAAUUUGUCAUCGUCAAAGGGUUGACGGAAAGGAACUUUGUCAUCGUCAAAGGGUUGACAAGAAGAAACUUCACUAUGGAGUGGCAUCAUCAAAGGUUUGAUGGAAAUUUUUUAUCAUCAUCAAAGGCUUGACGGAAAGAAAUAAACGAUGGCAUCACCAAAGGGUUGGUGGAAAAGGAAUCAUAUAUGUAGUAUCAUUGUCAAAGGGUUGACGGAGGGAAACUUCACUAUGGAGUGGCAUCACCAAAGGGUUGGUGGAAAAGACUGUCAUCAUCAGAGGGCAGAUGGAAAAGAGUUUGUCAUCGUCAAAGGGUUGACGAAAAUAAACUUCACUAAGGAGUGGCAUCAUCAAAGGGUUAAUGGAAAAGGAGACCUCACUAUGGAGUGGCAUCACCAAAGGGUUGGUGGAAAAGGACGAUCAUCAUCAGGGGGCUGAUGGAGAAGAGACCUCACUAUGGAGUGGCAUCACCAAAGGGUUAGUGGAAAGGAUGAUUAUCAUCAAAGGGAUGAUGGAGAAGAGACCUCACUAUGGAGUGGCAUCACCAAAGAGUUGGUGGAAAGGAUGAUCAUCAUCAGAAGGCUGAUGGAAAAGAGUUUGUCAUUGUCAAAGGGUUGACGGAAAGAAACUUUACUAGGGAGUGGCAUCAUCAAAGGGUUGAUGGAAAAGGAGACCUCACUAGGGAGUGGCAUCACCAAAGGAUUGGUGGAAAAGGAUGAUCAUCAUCAGGGGGCUGAUGGAGAAGAGACCUCACUAUGGAGUGGCAUCACCAAAGGGUUGGUGGAAAGGAUGAUCAUCAUCAGAGGGCUAAUGGAGAAGAGACCUCACUACGGAGUGGAAUCACCAAAGGUUUGGUAGAAAGGAUGAUCAUCAUCAGAGGGCUGAUGGAAAAGAAAUUGUCAUCGUCAAAGGGUUGACGGGAAGAAUCUUCACUGUGGAGUGGCAUCAUCAAAGGGUUGAUGGAAAGAAUUUAUCAUCAUCAAAGGGUUGACGAAAAGAAACUUCACUAGGGAGUGGCAUCAUCAAAGGGUUGAUGGAAAAGGAUGAUCAUCAUCAGAGGGCUGAUGGAAAAGAGACCUGACUAUGGAGUGGCAUCAUCAAAGGGUUGAUGGAAAAAAUUAAAAGACGUCAUCACCAAAGGGUUGGUGGAAAAGAAAUGGUCAUCAUCAAAGGAUUGACAGAAAUAAUUAAGGGAUAUCAUCACCAAAGGGUUGGUGGAAAAGAAAAUUUGUCAUCGUCAAAGGGUAGACGGAAAGGAACUUCACUAUGGAGUGGCAUCACCAAAAGGUUGGUGGAAGGAAAUUCGUUGUAAAAGGUCUUCAUCAGAGGGCUGAUGGAAAAAAGAGAUCAGGUUAUGUCCUCAUCAAGGGGUUAAUGGGAAGGAAUUAUUAUGUUAUGUAUGCAUAUGAUGCAUGUUAAUGGAAAUUUCUUGUUUUUGUGAGAGAGCUUUUGCUAUGCAACUUCCUGAUUUGGCAGGAGAGUCAUGUGUGUUCAUUGUAUGCAGUGCAUGUGGUAAUGCAAGAGGAUUAUCGGUUGUUUUUGGCUUAAUCUCCCUUUUGGGAGGUGAGACUUUCUUGAUACCAAUGUUGAUUGGAUUUGGAUUCAUGAAGAUGCCAACAAAGUGGAUUUUUAUUGGUUGCCAAUAUGGAUUGGACUUUGGUUUCGGAUAUGCCAAUAGGGAUUGGACUUUGACAUUAUGAGGAUGCCAACAAAGUGGACAUUUAUUUUUAGUAGUUGCCAAUAUGGAUUGGACUUUUGGUUGGUAAAAGGUUUUGACUUCCCGACACUCUGUAUUUUGAAGAUGCGAUGAUCAAAGGAUAGAUGUGGAUGCUUUUGGUGCCCCAAAUUUGAUCUGUUGUUGAUAUAUUGUGUGUUUAGUCUUGAGAGGACCUCAACUUCUUUGCUUGAUAUGCUUUGAUGGCUUGUAAAUGAGCAUAAUGACGUAAUCAAUGCAUAAUGAUUGUGCUCUUGCUCUUCCCUAAGGCUCUUUACAACUUGUAUGCCCCAACCUUUAGGGUCUUUUAAAGGAAUUCAUCUUUGAAAGGAAACCCUGGGAAUGCACAUACCAUGGCUUGAACCAACUUUGGCCCAGUACAUGGAUCAUGCAGUGGUUUUCCCCUGAUUAAGAUUUUGAAAGGCUUGCCCCAGAUGGACUGGAUAUUUUGAAAUUGUUUGCCUCCUUGAUCAACUGAUGCUUGGAGUUUGUCUUUUGACUGACCAAUUCAUAGUCAUUAGAUGCCAUGCCCUUGAUCCAUAGGGUUAAGAGGUGGUCUUGAUUCGGAUCAGCACCAACGGAUGUUCAAGUUCCUCUGAUUGUUCCUUAUUGUUGGAAUUUCCUUGAUAUAAAGUACUAACUUGCAGUUAAAAUUGUUUAUUUAAUCAAUGGUAAUUUUAAUGCGAUAUUCAUGCAGGUUUGAAAAAUCAUUUAUUGAGGUGAUGUGAUUAUGUGUGACGAAUGAACCAUUAGUCCAAACGCAGUGCUGAUUUAUCUAGUGUGUGAAAGAUAUAGCAAGAAUAUGAUCCCAUAUACAGGUGAUUAGCAAAUAUUUAGGAGCCAGUUUACACAUCUUUGCUGUAGUAUGCUUUCAGAAUAAACCUUUCUUCAAUUAGGUCUUUUAAGGGUUGUAACGUGGCUUGGUUCACGGUUACUGACACAAAGGAUGUAGGACUCAAAUUUUGUUUUAACCCACCCUAUCUUCAUGAUGAUCUCCAAUCCUACAUUAAGUUAAACACACACAUUCAACUUUUAAGAGAGUUUGGCAGUGUAAGAUCUCUUGAAAUGGCAGUCAUCUUAUUUUGCUCUUCAUGGAUGUUGGUGACACUUUGAUUUUGGUAUGGUGGUCACUGAAUCUUGUUUUGCUUUGUUGAGGGUUUUCAUUGCCUCUUUUGAUUUUUGUUUUGAUCCCUAACGUUUUCCUGUACCGCUUUUGAAGCUUUGGUCCAUCGGGAUUUCCCCAUGUUUUUGCCUAAGUCUCUUUUUGGGGAUCGACUUAGCAGGCUUUUUUUCUUUUGUUUGAAAAAUUGUGACUUCCAAGUCAUUGGUCAUUGAAGAACAAUCGACAUAAAUUUUGGAUUUUGUAUGGUUAUUUACCACUUCAGGAUGUGUUCGCAGAUUAUCAUGUGGUUGAUCCUCUGACGGGGUGUUUCAUCUUAUAAUUUGAAUGCGUAGUCAGAUUAACUGAACACUACCCUGCCCCAGGUUAAGCGUAAGGGUUUGUAAAUCCGAAAUAAAGUCCUACUUCUAGGCUCGAAGUGGUUGACUAGGGAUUAACUCCUUAUCUCUCCAGUGUUUGGGGAUUUAAAACAAUGCCUGUACAUCAUCAGCAAGAUUUUAUCCGAAAGCAUACAGUCAGCCAUUAUGGGUAUUUCAUUUUCGUCAUCCUCCCUUCAAUCUUUUCUAAAAUAACUAUUUGAUAAACGAAUGGGAGUAAUAUUUUUGUUUUUUGAUAUAAAUGGAAAAUAUGAGUGAAUACGAAAGGAUUCAUUAAAAACACACAUAAUCAUUUCAUUAAUAUUACCAUUAAAAGAAGUCAACAAUACUUGAAAGCAGAUAAGUACCUGACAUGCAAAGAAAAAUACAAAUGAAAUGCUAGAAAUAGCCAAAUGAUAGUCAAUGCAGAGGAAGCUCUCUCGUGUCUAGUUCACUACUGGGCUAGCCUCCUUCAGAGUAGUGGUAGUUUUGCUCGUCGAGACUAGUAUGAUAAUCAUCUUCAGACCUAUUCUCGGAAUUUUCUUCCAUAACAUGGACUGAUGGACCCACAUAUCUAGGUGAAGAAGUAUUAUUGAUUUUCAAGCUUCGAGGUGUAAAUGAGAACAUCUUGGAAUCAAGCAGGGUUUGUACUUUUCUCUUGAGAACCUUACAGUCUUUAGUUGAAUGCCCAUGUGCCCCAUCAUGGAAGUCACAUUGGGAGUUGGCGUCAAAACCUGGUGGAUACAGAGGAAUGACUGGAUUUAGCUUCUUUGGCACUAUCAGUCCUCUCUCAAUCAAAUACGGAAGUACUUGACUGUAUGUCAUUGGAAGUGGAUCGAUGUGUCUCUCUAGCUUUCUUGGCCUUCAUUGAGCCUGUUGACAUUGUCGAUGUGGAACAUCCUGUCAUUUGUAUGGUCGUUGAGGUGGAACUGUUGUUGAUGUUGAGGAGAUCUUUGAUGUGGAGAGGAUGAUCUCUGAUAUGGAGCUUAUGGGAUUUCCCAAACUGCAUUAAUUUCAACCUCUUCUUCCUUUAGUGAACUGAUAAUAUAUUCAAUCUCAAUGUUCUGGCUAUUUGAGGCGUGUUGGAUUCUUCCACUUUCAAAGCCAUACUCGACGCGUUCUCCAAUUGACACCAAGUGAGCGAAGUCUGAUGCUACACUGCUAAUCAUCCUUUCGAAGUAAGGGCUUUGCAAAGUAUCCCUGAAUAAUCCCAUCAAUUCUUUUUCUAAGAGUGGUGGUUCAAUGCAAUCCGCUAACUCUCUCCAUCUUUGGGCAUACCCUCUGAAGGAUUCAUCGCUUUCCUUAGAUAAGGCUCUUAACUGCAUGUGAUCAGGAGCUAUGUCCAAAUUAUAUUUGUAUUACUUCAAGAAGUCGUUAGCUAGGUCCAACCAUGGUUGAACAUGAUUCCUUUCUAACUUCAUAUACCAACUCAUUGAUGCCCCAGUUAAACUGUCUUGAAAACAAUGAAUCAUUAGCUUAUCAUUAUGGGCAUGAGAGGUCAUUUUUCGACAAAACAUCACCAAAUGGUGCUUUGGAUAGCCACCCCCUUUGUACUUCUCAAAUUUUGGUACUUUGAAUUUUGGGAUUAUAACCAGGCUAGGUACCAAACACAUGUUUGAAGCAUUCAGUUCAGGAUUAUCUUGUCCUUCUAUGGCCUUGAGUCUUUUCUCAAGCACACAACAUCUUUCAACGAUCUCAUCAUCUUGUGGUCAUUCAGUAUUAACCACUAGGCGUGUUCCAUGGGAAUUUGGCACGGAGAAUGCAAAGUUAUGAUAUUCAACACCAUCAUGAUAUGAGGAAUCUCGAACAUUAUGACGUUCUUGUACAACAGGGUUAUCAACUAGGGUUUGCACGGGCCGAGGCUGGGUGAGAUCAUUUAUUGGAGCUGGAAUAACAUUCUCAAUGACUGUAGUCUACUGAAUGUUGUCUUCCCUCUUUGAUAAAGCUAUCAUAGCCUCAACAAGUUAGUCUAUCUGGUUUUUCAUCGAGUCAACAUCUCCUCUUAAUGCAAUAUGACUUUGCUCCAAUGGAUCCAUGGUCUUUCAAGAGCUACUUCAAGUAUGAUAUGAGUGUCGGGAAUUCAACUGCAGGUUAUGAAGGAUGGAUGAGUCUUUUGUAUAUUUUGUGAAAAAUGAUAUGUAACGCAUGAUAAAUGCAGAUGCCGUGAUAUGUGUAUGAAUGAAGUGACAUGUUCAGGAUCACAGGUUCAAGGUAUUCUCAGGUUAAUUAGAAUAACGGGUAAAUGAUAGGUAUCUCUGAUUAAUGGAACCCCAUGGGAUAGGCUCUACAGUUGGUAGGUUCUUAGAGUCACGAAUAUUUCUUGAGAACAUCAUUGUCGUGACGAAGACUCAUCGGAUAAUAAUAUCCUUAAGAUGAUCUCGUCUAGGCGAGGUCUUCGUAUUGUCCCAACAAGGAAGGCUCCAUGGGGAUUCUACUACACAACUCUCGAGUCCAUGGUUCUAACAAGGUUCUUAGAGUCAUAGAUCGAGGUUGGAAAUAUUACUGUAAGAUAGUAAUACGUCCAAGGGAUCUCAUCUGAUUGGGGCUUUCAUAUUAACCCAACAAGUCUGAAACUUCGUAGGUUAAUACUACAUAAACGCCGGAUAGAGUGGGUUAAAAGGUCCCUAGAGUCAUUGAUCCAACUUGAAAAUACUAUCGUCGUGAAGAAGACUCGUUGGACAAUAAUAUCUCAAGAGAAUCUACUCUAGGUGGGGUCUUUGUAUCGUCCCAACAAGGAAGACUCCUUGUGGGCCUCCACCACACAACCACCAACUUAAUCUUAUGGUACUUCUCAGACUCGGGUGUAGAGCCUGUCUCACAAGGUACCAAUAACCAGAGAGCCCCAAAUAAGACAUAGUUAAUAAACCACAAAUCAAUAAUUACAACAGAAUAAUAAUAACAGAAUAAAGGUAACAAAAAAACAAGGUUAACACUCAACACAGAAACUGAACUAAGUUAGGCUUGACUCUCUCUUGCUUAGAGCUAAAUGUCCCCUGCAGAGUCUCCAUCUGUCGCAUCUCGAAAAAUACGAUUCCUCGCGAUGGUCGCGGAAAAAUUAUGUUCGAACAGAGUCGCCACCUACCUUUAUUUAUCCCAAUGAAGGAAUAGGAAAAUAUCGAUAAAACCUUUAGAAAGUAGAAUAAUGGUCAUCGCAACCAUAUUCGAGUUCCGGAGUCGAUUACGCAAGGGGAAGGUAUUAGCACCCCUCACGUCUGUUGUACUCAACGGGAACCUUUUAGUUUAAUUUGAGAUUUGAAUGUUAGCUUAUGUUGUUUGUUUUCUUCGAGUGAAUAAAAGAUUAAAAUAGAGAUGGAUGGAAACCUCAUAAAGGGGAAAGGGAGGUUUUUUAUUAGUGUGCUCGCCAAGAUCUCGCAAUCUCGUGCCUACGUAUCCUUAUGGUGCAAUAAGGAAAUCAGAGCAUUCGUAGUUCGGGGAACUACGGUUUGUUGGCGUCUUUUAGCGAACAACUGUUUAGAUCGCGUUCUAAAGGUUAAAUGUUGGCUUGCCUACUCUCGACGUAGGCUUAAGCACUAGUUUGUUGUGUGCAUUAGAAAGGAUUAAACAGUGUUCUUUCUGAAAAGAGUUUUGGUCACACGGGGGUGACAAGUUGAGUUAAUAUGUUGGGUGUUUUGUUGGAUUGGUUUUGAUCGCACGGGGGAGAGAAAGAGAUUUAAUGUGUUGUGAUAUCUUGUUGGAUGAUGAUUACUCGGAUGAUCGAGUAAGACAACUGUGAUAUCUUGUUUGAUAAUAAUUAAGGUGUUUUAAAAGGAUGAAGAAUACUCGGAUAGUCGAGUAAGACAACUCUUAUCCUAAUAGUCAGGAAAGGGAAUAAAAGACUCUAGACCACCUUCUUUUUCAUCUGAGUGAUUGUGAGAAUAGGAUUAUGUAUGGUUGAUGUAUUUUUCGAAUGAAUGACAAGUACUUGAAUGGCUGAGUAAGACAACUCUUAUCCAAGCAUUUGAGGAGAGGAAUCGAAGGCUCUAGACCAUCUCCCUUUUCGCAUAGUUUAUUGUGAAAAUGAUUUAAUUAAGUUAUAUGUUUGUGGAAAAAUGACAAUUGUUUGACUAACCGAGUAAGAGAACUCGUAUUCAAUCAAUAUAGAAGAGAAGUUGAAGGCUAAAAAUCAUCUCCCUUUUCAUUUCAUUAUUAUGAAAAUAAUUUGAUUUAAUCUUGGUUUAAGGUUUGUAAAGAAACGACGAUUGUCUAACUGAGCGAGUAAGAAAACUCGUAUUCAAACAAUCGAGGAGAGGAGUUAAAGGCUUAAAAUCAUCCCCCUUUUCAUUUAGUUUAUUAUACGAAUGUUUUGAUUUAAUUAUGCUUAAGCGGAUUAGAAAUGACAAUUAUUUGACUAACCGAGUAAGAGAACUCGUUAAUCGAGGAGAGGAGUUGAAAACUCAAAACCAUCCCCCUUUUCACUUCGUAAUUAUGAAAUGGUAUUUAAUUGUGAUUAGGUGUUUUGAUAAUUAAUUUUGAACAACAUACACGACAUUGGAUCGAGGGUUGAAUUGGUGUUUGUGAAUAAAUUAUAUUUUAAUGAAUCAAUCAUCUAAUCGAUUAAUUAAUAACCGAAUAGGUCUCACUGUAAGAAAGCUCAAGAGUAAGCUAUGUGAGGUUGAUGGCGAUGCUUAGAAGCAAUCGACUUACAAGGUAUUUGAAAAUAGGCUCGACAUGGAAUCGAGAAGUAUGUGAUCUUUUAAAUGGUUUGAAUGGUUUAUAUUAUGAAGUGAUAGCAAAAAUGAUCGUGAAACAAAUCGGUCAACUUUUAAAAAAUAAAAUUAAUUAAUUAAAAUUCAAUUAAUCCAUCUAAUUAAGAUAAUUAAAAUUAAUUAUCAAAAUUAUUCGAUUAAAAAUUAAUGUAAUCAAAUAAUUAAGUUAAUUAAAAUUAGUUAACGAAAUUAUCUAAUUAAUCAAGACUUUAAUUAAUUAAUCAAUUUAGAAAAAGAAAUAAGUGACAAUAUUGAAUAUUAAAUAAUUGAAUCGAAUCAGCCACCAUAUGCUCACAAACCGGUUUGUACAAUGCGACAAUGGAAUUGAAAUGUCGUAUGUGAAGAUCAAAACGUGGCGAAAUGCUCGAUUGAUUUGUUAAAAUUUAAUGAUAUACCAGCAUGAAAUUGCCGGAUCCGCAAAUUAAAAUUCCAUUUUAAGCGCAAUGAAGACCCAAUAGAAACCCAAUCAAUAUAUGACAUGUGACACUAAUAUUAACAAUGAUCAUAAAAGAAUACCUAACGUUUGCUUUCUUUUAUUCACAUGAAAUUGGUAUACAUGCCAAUAACAUUUCACCAACUUCACGCUCUUGAAUUAACGAAUUGAUUAAUUAUUCAUCACCAAUUUCCACACUUUAAAUAAUAAUCUAAAACCGAACUCUGACUUUUCAUAUUAAGGCAUAUAUCAUGUUUUUAGAAAAUAGAAUGUACUUAUUAACAAAAGAAAAGAAUUAGAAAAAAAAAUUGUCAAUAUAAUGAACACAGUGUAUUAGAGUGGAAUAACCAAGGCUAUGAAUACAAUGCCUCGUUACGAGCCUCCCUGGAAUAAUAAUAUCAUCAUCACCUAACCAAUGUUCAAAUUAAAACACCAAAGACUAUGAAGGAUUCAGCGCAUCUUAAAGUCAUAACAACAAGCAUAAUCCCACAACAGUAUACAUCCCCUUUGUAAAUUUAUAUUAAACCCAGAUUUUAAUAAUAUUGAAAGAACCAAAUACAAACUUAAAUGUAUAAGUUUUACAUAAACAGUUAUCCAAAUGGAAAUAAUUGAGCGUUACCGAAACAACGGUAUGGUCAGAGAUCGUUGGCGGCGAUUUGGGAUGUCGCUCGGUAAUCGCGCAUGUUGGCGACGAUUUGGGGAUAUCGACGGUGAGUGGUUGUUGUUGGAGGAAAGGGGCGUCGCCGACGAUUGAGAAGGUUUGAUGUGAGAGUAGGUGUGAAAAGGAGGAAACGGCGGUUUCGCGGUGGUGGUGUAGUGGAAGUUGUUCGUCGGAAAGGCGAAGAGGAGUUGUUGUGACGGACGGUUCCAGGCGGUGGAUUUAUUGGAGAUUCGGAUGGAGUUUCCGGUGAGGGAGGUCGCGGAUGGAGGUCGAAGGUAGUUUCCGGAGGUGGCGGUUGGAGUUUGGGGUUUCGCGGCGACGAGAUGAAGAGUGAAGGGGUUGUGCGUUGUUGUUGGGUUGGAACGCGGAUGGAGGCUUGCCAGCGGUGAGCGGAUCUAUGUUGAUUCUGGCGGAAGGAAGGCGGUUGUUUGGCGCUGUGGAGAAAAAUAUGGAAAAAUUUCUUUCUCUUUUUAUUUUCUUCCCCUUUCUUCACGUUCAGAGUGAAAGAGCGUCAUUUUGGAGAGUGAGAGGAGCGGUUUUCCUGUGGUCCUCUCUCUUGUUUUCUUUAUCGUUUUCUUUUUUCUAUUUUCUUAAUUUUUUGCUGAGAGAGAGUGAUGAUUGAGGAGUCAAGUCAGUCCCCUAGAGAGAGAAGAGAGGUCGCCUUUUAUUUUGUGGGUUCCUUUUUUUUUAUCGUUUUCCUUUCUUUUAGUGUACCGUUGGAGACCCUUAGUGGAGAUGGAUGCGUGUUAGUUGUCGUGUUAGUUGUCAUCUUUUGCCAGCGAGCAAGAGAGAGGAUUUGGAGAGAAACUUUUUAUUUUCAUAUUUUUCUAAUAAUAGUAUUAAUUAAAUCCCAAAUUUUGAUUGGAUAAAUGGGAUAAGUGUGGAUUGCUAACGAGGAGCAUUGAUUAAUUUGAAUCGUUGAUUCAGAUUAAAUCAAAGAAGCACAAACAAUUUAAAAUGGCAAACUUCCCCUUCUAGAUGAUUUAAAUGGAAUUAAAUCAUUUAAUUCAAAUAAAAUUCACAACUUUUCACAUAAUCAUGAUAAAAUUAAAAUAAGAGCAUGGAAAAUUCUAUUUAUUUAAUCUGGAAAUUUUGGCGAAAGAAUAAAAUUAAAACGACUAAAAAUGAAUAAAAGUCGGGCAAAAAUUUGCUCGAAAAAUUAAAUCGGAUGCAUGAAAAUGAUCAACACGAGAUAUACUUAUUAAAAAAAUACAAUGUUUCUUUAAAUUCUGAAAUAAAUUUUCAUCGGUUAAAAGGCUCAAAUGGAUUAAAAUGCAGCUGAAAAAGUCCUUGAAAAAUAUAACGAGCACACCAGGCUGAACCACGCGAACUGUAGAUUAAUAAUAAUGGCGUCUGUAAGUUUGAUUUCGAAACUUUUUACCCGCUGAUUUUGCACGUACUUGACGAAUGAUUUAACCAAUUUGACUGUAUAUUCAAUAAUUCAUUUCGAUUGAUAUUUUAGGUAUUAUUCAUGAUGAAAUGCAUUUUAUGAUGUACAUAUGAUGCAAACUGAAAUUAAAAUCGAAUUUAUAAAAGUUUUAAAAUGGCGGAACAAAAUUGGGGUAUGACAGGGUCUUUUCAACAUGUUUUGUCCUUACUCACACGCUUUCCAGGAAACUUCCCAGAAGGUCACCUAUCCAAAUACUACUCCAAGUCAAACACGCUUAACUAUGGAGUUCUUAUUUGUUAGGCUACCAAAAAGAAGAUGCAUCUUAUUGGUAUAGGUAGUACCAAUUAAUCCUUAUAAGGCUUCCUUCAACGAUGCAGUCCCAUACUUGCACAGCCUCAAGAUCCCUCUCAUUCCGAUGUGGAUUCAAUUUUUCCCUAGAAGCUGCUAGGAGUGUCCUUACUCACACGCUUUCCGAGAUCCCACCAGCUUCGACUUGGUUUUUCCCCGAACCAUAUUGUACUGGGAGAGGUACGACUCUGAUACCAUUUGUAACACCCCAGACUACUUUCAGAAUUAUCGAAUGACCCCACAAACCAACACGGGUCUUUUCAGCAUGUUUUAUCCUCACUUACACACUUUCCAGGAAACUUCCUAGACGGUCACUCAUCCAAAUACUACUCCAAGUCAAGCACACUUAACUAUGGAGUUCUUAUCUGUUAGGCUACUGGAAAAAAAGACGCAUCUUAUUGGUAUAUGUAGUACCAAUUAAUCCUUAUAAGCCUUCCUUCAACGAUGCAGUCCCAUACCUGCACAGCCUCAGGAUCCCUCUCAUUCCGAUGUGAAUUCGGUUUUUCCCUAGAAGUUGCUAGGAGUGUCUCAUUGUCAUGCCUCAUGCACCUACAACCACUCCAUCACCCUCGAGUGUAACAUGUAACCACUAUAUGUCCUCUCUGGACUUGGGUGUUACAUGCCCACCAGCUUCCGCUUGGUUCCUUCCCGAACCACAUCGUAUUGGAAAAGGCACGGCUCUGAUACCAUUUGUAACACCCCAAACUACUUUCAAAAUUAUCGACUGACCCCAUAAACCAACACAGAUCUUUUCAGCAUGUUUUAUCCUCACUCAUACGCUUUCUGGGAAACUUCCCAGAAGGUCACCCAUCCAAAUACUACUCCAAGUCAAGCACGCUUAAAUAUGGAGUUCUUAUCUGUUUGGUUACCGAAAAGAAGAUGCAUCUUGUUGGUAUAUGUAGUUCCAAUUAAUCCCUAUAAGUGUUCCUUCAAUGACGUAGUCCCAUACAUGCACAACCUCAAGAUCCCUCUCAUCUUGAUGUGGAUUCGAUUUUUCCCUAGAAGCUGCUAGGAGUGUCUCGUUGUCAUACCUCAUGCACCGACAACCACUCCCUCUCCUUCAGGUAUUAGAUGUAUCCACUCUCCGCCCUCUUAGGCCUCGGGUGUUACAUGUAAAAUAUGAAAGGUGAUAUUUGAACUCACUACCUCUCAUACUCAUAACUCCUUAGCCAUACUCUCCAUCCAUUAGACCAUUGCACCCAUCCUAAGAAAUGUGAGAUUCAAACUCACAACCUCUCAUGCUCAUAAUUUCUUACCCAUACACUACCAUCCAUUAGGCCAUUGCUGCUCUGAUACCAUUUGUAACGCCUCAUACUGCUCUCAGGAUUACCGACUGACCCCACAAACCAACACGGGUAUUUUUAACACGCUUUGUCCUUACUCACACACUUUACGGAAAACUUCCCAGAAGGUCACCCAUCUAAAUACUACUCCAAGUCAAGCACGUUUAACUAUGAAGUUCUUAUCUGUUAGGCUACUGAAAAGAAGAUGCAUCUUGUUUUCGGUAGCCUAACAGAUAAGAACUCCAUAGUUAAGCGUUCUUGACUUGGAGUAGUAUUUGGAUGGGUGACCUUCUGGGAAGUUUCCCAAAAAGCGUGUGAGUGAGGACAAAACAUACUGAAAAGACCCGUGUUGGUUUGUGGGGUCAGUCAAUAAUUAUGAAAGUAAUUUGGAUUAGGCUAGAAGACAUCUUUCCACAUCUUAGGGUGCGGGCUGGUAAUGAUGUAUGAUGUUGUUGACUUCCUCCUCUGGGACGCAACGACGAAAGAUACCAUCAACACCUCUUUUGAAAAGGAGAGGCUCAUCCCAGUAGUAGUGUUUCAGUUCAUGGAAGAAUUUAUUCUUCUGCUGGUAAGUUAGCCUUGAAGGAAGUUCUCCGGCUACUAGGUAGUUGACAAAGUCAGUGUACCACGAUACAGUAGUUUUAGUAAUUAUGGCCUCCACAACCUCUUCAAUUUCUGCAUCUUUAAAAGUUAAAGAGUACUCAGUUGUGUUACUUUCAAUUUGAGCUACAAGUCGAUCAUAUGGAAAAUCAUCGUUGAUUGGUUAUUGCUCGAUUUUCAUAUUCUCGAGUAUAGACAGGUGGUCGGCAACAACGUUUUCAGUUCCCUUCUUGUAUUUGAUCUCCAAGUUGAAUUCUUGCAAGAGAAGAAUCCAUCUUAAGAGCCUUGGUUUGGCAUAUUUUUUAUUCAAUAGAUACCUGAUUGCGGCGUGAUCAGUGUAGAUAAUUAUUUUAGCUCCUACCAAGUAGGAACGAAAUUUAUCUAACGCGAAAACAACAACUAGGAGCUCAUUUUCAGUCGUGGCGUAGUUCAUUUGUGCUUGGUCCAAGGUUCUACUUGCAUCAAAGAUCGCAUGAAGCUUUUUAUCAGUUCUAUGUCCCAAGGCCGCGCCUACAACAUAAUCACUCACGUCACACAUCAUCUCAAAAGGUCUGCUCCAAUCAGGUAGUUGCAUGAUGGGCACAAUUAUUAGGGCGUUUUUCAAUAAUUCGAACGCCUCCAGACAUUUUUCCGUCAAAGACGAAUUUCAUGUCUUUCAUUAAUAAGUUGGUUAAUGGUUUUGUUAUUUUACAAAAAUCUUUAAUAAACCGGCGGUAAAAACCGGCGUGUCCUAAAAAGCUUCAUAUUUCUCUAACAUAUUUCGAGGGUUGGAGGUUUUCUAUAACCUCUAUUUUUGCUUUGUCGACUUCAAUCCCCUUAUUGGACACUAUAUGUCCAAGUAUUAUCCCUUGUUUAACCAUGAAAUGAAAUUUUUCCCAAUUUAUCACGAGAUUAACCUUCACACAUCUAUCAAGUGCCAUUUCUAGGUUUUUUAGACAACCUUCGAAACUCUACCCACAAACGAAAAAAUCAUCCAUAAACACCUCGAUGAUGUUGUCUAUAUAGUCUGCGAAAAUUGACAUCAUGCACCUUUAAAAUGUUGCGGGAGCAUUACAAAGUCCAAAUGACAUUCGUCUGUAGGCAAAUGUACCAAAGGACAUGUGAAAGUUGUCUUUUCUUGGUCAUUAGGAUGGAUGGGAAUUUGAAAGAAUCCUGAGUAACCAUCCAGAUAUCAAAAAUGAGAGUGCUUAGCUAAUCGUUCCAGCAUUUGAUCGAUAAAAGUUAAGGGGAAGUGAUCCUUGUGAGUGACUUUAUUUAAUUUUAGGUAAUCAAUGCACAUCCUCCAUCCAGUUACUACAUGUUUAGCUAAAAUCUCUCCCUUUUUGUUAUCGACAACCGUAACACCACCUUUCUUGGGUACUACAUGUACUGGGCUGACCCAUUUACUGUCAGAUAUGGGAUAUAUAAUAUCUGCCUCUAAUAACUUCAACACUUCUUUUCUUACAACAUUGCUCAUAAUCGGGUUUAGAUGCCUCUGGUGUUCCCUAGAGGUUUUCGAGUCUUCUUCUAGCAUAAUGCGAUGCAUGUAUAGAGAGGGACUAAUUCAUUUUAAGUCUGAGAUGUUGUUGCCUAAGGAAUUAGGGUAUUUCCUUAGGACAUGUAAUAGUUUUUCAGUUUCUAUUUAUCCUAAAUCGGUGUUGACUAUUACUGGUUUCUCAAGCUCAGUGUCCAGGAAUUCGUAUCUCAUAUUUUUCGGUAGUGUUAUAAGUUCUAUAGAUGGUUUCUUCGAGCAUGGCAUAGGAUUUGGAGUUAUUGCUAGACAUUCCCUUAAACUAUCAUCUACGGAUGGUUCUUUGUAUUGGUCAUCCUCAAGAAUGGGUGGUGUUGUGAUUUUUAGGAUUUCAGUAUCCUCGGAUGGUUCCAUUUUUAUUUCUUUCAUACACUCAUCAAUGAUGUCCAUAAAAUAACAUGUGUCGUCUAUGGCUGGUGCUUUUAGAAAUUGCGAUAAAAUGAAUUCAAUCUUCUCCUCUCCCACUUCGAAAAUCAUUUUUCCUCGUUUCACAUCUAUAAUGGCACCGGCAGUUGCUAGGAAGGGUCUACCUAGGAUAAUUGAGAUGUUAGAAUCUUCUAUGAUGUCCAUUAUUAUGAAAUCGGUAAGGAUGAAGAAUUGGCCGACUUGGACGGGAAUGUUCUCUAGCAUUCCUAUAGGAUACUUAACAGAACAAACUGCUAAUUGUAGAGACAUACUCGUUGGUCUUAACUCUCCCAAUUUGAGUCUUUCGCAGAUGGAAAGGGGCAUCAAACUCGCACUAGCUCCUAAAUUGCAGAGGGCUUUAUCUAUUACAAACUUCCCUAUCACACAAGGUAUGGAAAACUGCCAGGAUCUUUUAGUUUAGGUGGCAUGUUAUUCUAAAUGAUAGCACUACACUCUGUGUUAAGCGUCACUGUCUCAUCAUCCUCAAGUUUCUUCUUGUUAGAUAAGAUUUCUUUUAGGAACUUGGCAUAUGAGGGUAUUUGUGUAAUAGCUUCAUGAAAGGGAUGGUAAUAUUAAGUUGUUUCAAGAGUUCGACGAACUUCCUGAAUUGUCCUUCAGUUUUGGAAUUAUCUAGUAUUUAAGGGUAAGGAAUUGGUGGUUUAUAUGGUGGUGGAGGCACGUAUGGUUUCUCCUUCUCAACUGCCUCUUUGGUUUCAUCUUUUGCCUCUGGUUUAUCAGGUUGGCCAUUUUUCUGAGUCAUCGGCGGAAUUUAUGUUUUGGGAUCAACUGGUCCGUCUAACUUCGUCCCGCUCCAUAAUGUGAUAGCAUUAGCUUGACCUUUCGGUUCGGUUGAGGUUGACCAGGGAAAGUUCUAGCUGAAACUGCGGUAGUUUCUUGAUGCUGGGCUACUUGAGAAAUUUGAGUUUCCAACAUUUUCUUAUGAGUAGCCAAAGCAUCUACUUUAGUUGCUAAUUGUUUCACUAAUUCUGAGGUAUGAACGUUCUGGUUCAUAAACUCCUUAUUUUGUUGCGUUUGAGAAGCAACAAAUUUUUCCAUCAUUAACUCAAGAUUAGAUUUUCUAGGCGUUUGAGGAGCGGCUUGAGGUGCGCUCUGAGUUGGCUUAUGGUAACCAGAAGGUGGUUGGUUUAGAGCAUAUAAGGCAUUGUUAUUCUUAUAAGAGAAGUUAGGAUGGUUUUUCCAACCUGGGUUGUAAGUAUUGGAGUACGGGUUUCCUUGAGCAUAGUUUAAUUGGUCAGGUGUAAUGCCUGCUAGUAAUUGGCAUUCGGAAAUGUCGUGUCCAGGUACUCCACAUAUAUUGUAGCUUAGGGCUAUGGCAUCCACGGUGGCCACGGGAUUUAUGGUUAAACUUUCAAUCUUUUGAGUCAGGGCAUCUACCUUAGCAUUGACGUGAUCUAUGCCAUUGACUUCGUACAUACCUCCUUUUGGUUGAGGUUUCUCUAUAGAAGUGCGCUCUCCACCCUAUUGGUAGUGAUUUUGUUCCAUAUUUUGAAUGAGUUGAUCAGCCUCUUCAUAUGGUUUGUCCCUUAUAGUGACGCCAACUACAACGUCUAAGAUUAAUUUGGUGUUAUAUGAGAGACCACCAUAGAAGGUUUAGAUGAUAAGCCAUGGUUCAAGCCCAUGGUGCGGGCAAAUCCUCAGCAUGUCCUUAUAUCUCUCCCACGCUUCAAAAAGUGAUUUGUUGUCCUUUUGCCUAAAUCCUUUGAUUUGGCUUCUUAGCAUAGCCAUUUUACUAGGUGGGAAAUAUCUGGCUAAGAAACCUUCUUUAAUUCUUCCCAUGUAGUUAUGGAAUUGGAAGGUAAAGACUGAAGCCACACUCUAGCUCUGUCUCUUAAAGAAAAGGGGAAAAGACGUAAUCGUAUUGCUUCAGGAUUAACACCUUAGCUUUUACCGUAUCUGCAUAUUGUAUGAAUACUGACAGAUGGAGAUUCGAAUCGUCUGUAGGAUUGUUAGAGAAUUAGUUUUGUUGUACAGCUUGUAACAGUGAAGGUUUCAACUCGAAAUCGUUUCGGUCGAUGGCAGGGGAAGCAAUGUUGUUGUGUGGUUCAUCCUGAAAUGGGGCAGCAUAGUCCCUUAAAGGAUGGUUAGCAGGGGCGGCCAUAUCUGGUUCGAGUAUAUCAGGAUCAAGAAGGUUGUAUUUUAAACGGAAUUGUUUAAGUCAGUGUCUUAGACUAAUAUAACGCUCGAUUUCGUCUAUCGGUUGUUCUAACUCGUCUUCUUGUGAGCGAGUGUUUAACAUGCAACCAAAACAAAUAAAAAGGAAAAUAGUUUCCUUAGUCUAUAUCGUGCAACAGUGGAGUUACGAUAUUGACUUAAUUAGUCCCCGGAAACGGCGCCAAAAACUUGAUCGUGACUUAGUAUGUCUAUCGAAAUGGCUAACUGCAAGUGCACAGUCAUAUUGUGUAGUUUUAAAAAGAUGUUGAACCCAAAGGACCAAAAUUCAAACUAUCGUUAUCUAAAGUUACUAUGUAAAGCUAAAGCUAAUGAUUGUUUUCUUUUUUUUAGAUUGAUUAAGAGAAACGGAGAAAUAAAAUUUAACUAGAAAUAAUAAUAUAAUUAAAGUAUUCAAUAAAGAGGCAUCAGUAUGUAAAUCACAUCAUUCUUCGAGGAUUCGGAAAACAAUUAAUAUUAAAAUAAGGUAAAUCACUUUUCAGUAGAAAAUAUCAAAUUAAAAGACUUUGCCUCACACUCUUGUGUUAUUGGCUCGGGCUAUACUCAUAAGCCAAAAUGUUUUGCUCUCGCUCACCCACCUAAAUUAAAAGUAAUUUUUGGAAAUUGAUAAAUCAUAAUUAAUCCUAAAGCGAUCUCGUUGUGUUUAUGAUUAAUGCCUAGAAGCCACUAUCUGGUUAAAAUCUCAAACUCUCGUUCUGUUGAUUUAUAACCUUAUUGACUUUUCACUCUCGUGCAAAAACCUCUUUAAAUUAGAAUUGGAAACCAGAGCUAGAAAAAUAACUCAUAAAAAUUAUCAUUCAUUAUUACCGAAUCUCGUCAGAACGACAGUCCUUACAUACCGAUAUCGAAUGUUUUAGCCGGACAUGGUUUUAAACUUAAUCAUCCACAUACAAUCCUUAAACAUAAACAUAAUAAAAAUUCAGAAUUGCAAAUUAAAGCGGAAAGUAAAGAGUUCAGCAAUUAAAAGAAACCUGAUGAAUAAUAAUAAUUGGAUUAAACUUCGGAGGAUUCUUCGAGUACAAAUAACAAUUGGAAAACUACAACUAUGUCGGCACGCUUGAUCCAAGCAACUUGUAAAUGUAAAAGCAAAGGUGCAAUAGCUUCCCGAUGUGGAAGAACUAUCACUUUUAGAGUGUUUCUACUUAAAACUAAGAAUCAAAUUACACGAUGAAAACUUGGAUGCAUUUUUAUUCUAAUUUAGCCUUUUUUAUAUUGGUGAAGUAGGGCUGAACUUCCCUAAAUUCGUGUGGAAGUGGUGGAGAGGAAAUAGGGAGGGUUCUUGACCAUGUUUUAUGCAGUUCCUGAAAAACAGCACUGCGUGUCUGUGGCGAACGCCACAAGGCCAUGGCGAACACCAUGGUACUUAAACUCUGAAGUGAUGUGGCAAGGGGCGUGGCGAACGGAUCAGUCUCCAAUUCUACUUGUUUUCUGACACUCACUCUACACCUUUUCACGAAGUCGGUAACACAUUAGUCUACCUGUUUUAUCGUUCUGUUUAGUAAAUUAGAUGUUUUGCAUUGUUAUUUCAAGUUGUUGAUUAUAUUUGGUUUGCAUCAUUAUACUCCAUUUUUACCUUUUCACGAAGUCGGUAACACAUUAGUCUACCUGUUUUAUCGUUCUGUUUAGUAAAUUAGAUGUUUUGCAUUGUUAUUUCAAGUUGUUGAUUAUAUUUGGUUUGCAUCAUUAUACUCCAUUUUACAUCUCUUUGUGGUAGUUUUACUAGUUUCAGGUGUAAGCAAGAACACCAGAGGGAUAUCCAAGCGAAUUGGACAUUUCGGGCCCAUCGGAAGAGGAAAUUAGAUAACACAGUAGUCCUGACACGGCCACCCAUGUUUCCCAACACAGCCCGUGUCAGGAGGUGAAAGCCAUAAGAAGAAAACAGGGAGCUGGCACGGGUGCCCGCGUCAGCCUCCCUAGAGGGGCAUGUCAAGGCCAAUAUACCAGACAACCAACACGGUCUGACAUGGCUAGUGUUGGCUUGGACACCUCAUUUUCUAGUUUUUGCUAUAUUUUGGCACGGCUGAUCCCGAGAGGCAUUAUGGACUUUUGCUACAUCAAAUUAGUGAUCAGGAACUAUUUAGGGGAUUUUUUGAAUAUGGAGAAGGGGACUUUUGACGAUUACUGAUUGGAGACGAUAAAGAUUGAAGCGGUCAAAAACGACGAAGAACGAAGAUUCUUCAAGAGCGGAUGCAAUUGAAGAUCAAUGAAAUUCCCAUACUUUUGUAAUGUCUCGUUUUUAUGUAUCUUAUUUGAAUAAUAUGAGAGGUUAAACCCCCCCAAUGCCCGAGGGGGGGGGGGUGGGUUCCUUGAACUGAUCGUGUAAUGACUCGAAAGUUAUAAUUUCCUUAAUAUAUGAUGUUUGUUGUUAAUUUCACUAUGCAAUUUUGGGGGGGUGGGUUCCUUGAACUGAUCGUGUAAUGACUCGAAAGUUAUAAUUUCCUUAAUAUAUGAUGUUUGUUGUUAAUUUCACUAUGCAAUUUGCAUAAUGUUUUCUUUAUCAGAAAAAUCAAGAUUGUUGUAUGGUUAACAAUUAGCAGGAUUGCAAUUGUUAAGGUUUUUAUACAGUGAAGCCAUAGUAGAUAUCACCUAGGACUAGGGAUACCCUAUGGAUACCGGUUUAUUCUUGUUAAAUUGGAAUUACUUGGUUUCAUAAUAAUCGCCUAAUGACUUAGAGAUUAGAUUGAAUGACCAAAGGUUUCCCUCUGAGGUCUUAGGGGGAAACACUCUUAAGAUCCGGUAAUUGGAACAAUUUUCAUUAUUAAGGAGAUAUACACUCAAGGGUCAUUACAGGAGAUUUUUAUACACCAUCCUUGGCAUAUUAUUAUAAACUGUGAAAAGAUUUAUCCUAUUUUACUUUCUCUUACAGUGAAUUUUUUACAAAACCCCAACUAUUAGUUUUGUUCAAUUGAGUAACAAUUUACACGUAUAUUGUUGCGCAAUCCUCGAGGUCGAUCUUUGGGAAACAUCUAUAUUAUUACUACAUCGGCAAAAUAGUACACUUGCUAUUUUCCUGAUCAAGUUUUUGGCGCCGCUGCCGGGGAUUGCCAAAUAUAAGUUUAAAUUAUCUCAAUUGAAAUUUUGUUGCUCUGCAAAUAAAAUUUAUUUUUCGUUAUUUUAAUAAUUUAUUUCGAUUAUAUCAACUAAUCUCUGUCUGAUAUUUGUAUGCGAGGUAAGCCCUCAGCUGAUUUUCCUUUUGACGCAGAAAUCGAGAGAACCUUUCGGGCAAGACUCAGACAAGCUCGAUUGGUUAGAUUAGAAUCAGACGAAGAACAACUUUCCAUUCAUUCAGGUUCUGAGAGAGAGAUCGAAACUAUGGCUGAUGUUCCACCGCCACCAGAAAGACUGUUGGGUGACUACGGAGGUGAAAAUGCACCAAUCGGCAGAUUAACUAUUGGAAACUAACCAGUGAAUGUGGCUAAUUUCUAGUUGCAUCCGAGUACUAUUAAUCAACUUGAAAGGAAGCAUUUUACUGGAAAAGUAAAUGAAGAUACAAACAAGCAUUUGUAGAGGUUUCUGACCAUGAGCAACACUCUAAAAAUUGAUGGUCACACCGAAGAAGCUAAGAAAUUGAGAAUGUUUCCGUUCACCUUAGCGAAAGAAGCCGAAGAAUGGUUUUAUUCUCUAUCUGCCGGUAGCAUCACAUUUUGGGAAGAAAUGGAAAAAGCCUUCCUGAAUGAGUAUUUUCCAGCGUCGGUAUUUCUGCGGAAGAGGUAUGAAUUUCUGAAUUUUAAGCAGAAGGACGGGGAAACUUUGGGAGACGCAUACAAGAGAUUUAAGAGAGUCCUGGUCGCCUGCCCAACUCAUAAUAUGGAUCCAACUGAAUAGAUGCAGAUGUUUUUGAAUGGUCUCAAAAUAAAUACCAAACAGCUGAUUGAUACCGCAACCGGUGGCUCCACUAAUAUUUUAACAACCACCAGUAUCAAGAAGAUCAUUGAAGUUAUUGUUGCUAAUGAGCACUUGGAGUUGUACGAUAGAUGUCAAAGCAAACUAGAAGGGGUUAUAGAUUUAAAGCUGGAAAAUAAUAAAAUUUGUAUUGAAGAUACUCUAGCUGCUGAAGUUGAGAAGAAUCUGAAGGCGAUGAAUAUGGGUACCCAACAGGUGGCACAGGUCCAACCGGCUCCUACCGUCUGUUGUAAAAUUUGUAACGGCCCGCACCAAACUGUAUAUUGUUUUGUAACUCCUAAACAAGUGGAGGAAAUCAAAUUUUUGAAGCAGAAUAAUCCUUAUUCCAACACGUACAAUCCGGGUUGGAAGAAUCAUCCCAACUUCUCAUGGAAAGACCAAAAAGGAACCGCUCCUCAACAUGGUCAGUACAAAAAUUAAUAUCAACAACAGCAGCAACAACAAGCCCCUAAGAAAGCUGAUUGGGAAAUUGCAAUUGAAAGAAUGACAACUCAUAAUGUUCAAUUUCAAGAAGAAACCCGGAACAAUCAGAAAAACACCACAACAUCCAUAAAGAAUCUUGAAGUCCAAAUGGGUCAAACCGCUCAACAAUUAGCUUCGAGUUCUCAAGCACAAGAUGCUCUACCUAGUGCAACUGUGACAAAUCCUAGAGAGCAUAAUAAUGUGAGCGUUGUGAUAACAAGAAGUGGUAAAUCUGAUGAAGUAGUCGAGGAGGUGGAUGAAGAGGAAGAUCAAUUGAUCGAAGUGGAUCUUGAGAUCAAAGAAAAUGAAGUUGUGAGGGAAGAAGUGGUAGCAUCGAAACCAGUUAUGAAAGAAACAGUCAUUGAGCCUAAGCCGGUUGUUAAGCUCCCUUUUCCCAAUAGAAACAAGAAAAAGGGACAACAUGAGAAAAACUUUGAAAAAUUCUUAGAGUUGUUCAAAAAGUUGGAGAUAAACAUUCCCCUAUUGGAGGCACUUGAACAAAUGCCUACUUAUGCAAAGUUCAUGAAGGACAUCAUUUCGAAGAGGCAUACCGCCGACACCAACUUGAUUAUUCUAACUGAAACUUGUAGUGCUAUUUUCCAGGGUAUGAAGAUUCCGAUAAAGAAGAAAAAUCGAGGAGUUGUCACCAUCCAUUGUACUAUUGGAGAUAGGUCAUUCAACAAAGCUCUUAUUGAUUUUGGAGCUAGUGUGAGUCUCAUGCCAUUAUCCAUUUACAAGAAGCUUGGUAUAGGGGUUGUGCAAGAUACCAGGAUGACACUCCAAUUCCCCGAUCAUUCGGUAAAGAAACUGUAUGGUAUUGUUGAAGAUGUUCGGGUGAAAAUUGACAAGUUUGUAUUUCCGGUGGAUUUUGUAAUUCUUGAAAUGCCGGAAGAUGAAGAGAUCCCUCUCAUUUUUGGGAGACCCUUUUUAGAAACGGAAAGGUGCUUGAUCAACAUAGAAGAAGGGACCAUGACAUUGAAGGUUUAUGAUGAGGAAUUGAAAAUCGAUGUUCGAAACACCAUGAGGUACAAGGAUGAUAUUUGUACUAGUCAUACUAUAGAGGUUCUGGAUCAGGUGAUGACAUAUGAUAGUCCUUUGUAUGCACCACAGUCACCUUUGGAAAAAGUGUUGAGUUUGUCUAUUUUCGAUAGUGAUAAAGAAGUGGACAACGGGGAAUCUGAAGUGCUAGCCUUGUUAGACGCACAACCUCCGUGGAAAGGAUCUCGACCACACCAGUGGGAGGAUUUACGCCUACCUCAAUCUAGUGAGGAGGAUGAAGAGACAAAGAAGGGAACGGAGUUGAAACAACUUCCUGAGAAUCUUAAAUAUGUCUUUCUCGAUUCUGAAGGAAAAUGUCCUGCUAUCAUAAACUCGAGCCUAAAGAAUAUUCAAGAAGAAAGGCUCAUCCAAGUCCUAAAAAAAUACAAAAAUUAUGUUGGAUGGGCAAUUGAAGAUUUUAAAGGUAUUAGCCCUACUGUGUGCAUCCAUAAAAUUAUCAUGGAAGAAGACCACAAACCGGUAGUCCAACCGCAGAGAAGACUUAAUCCGGCAAUGAAGGAGGUAGUUCGGAAAGAGGUGGUGAAAUUGUUAGAUGCAUGCCUUAUAUAUCCUAUUUCUGACAGUCCCUGGGUGAGCCCAAUGCAUGUUGUCCCUAAGAAAUGGGGGACCACAGUAAUAAGGAAUGAAAAAAAUGAGUUAAUUCCUACUCGAACAAUCACCGGGUGGCGUGUUUGCGUUGACUACAAAAGGUUGAACAUAGAAACUAGAAAGGACGACUUCCCAUUGCCAUUUAUUGACCAGAUGUUGGAAAGGUUAGCCGGACACGAUUACUAUUGUUUUCUAGAUGGAUACUCCGGGUAUAAUCAGAUUGCAGUCGCUCCAGAAGACCAAGAAAAGACAUCAUUCACAUGCCCGUAUGGUGUAUUUGCAUACCGAAGAAUGUCAUUCGGGUUGUGUAAUGCUUCAACAACCUUCCAAUGAUGCAUGAAUUCCAUUUUCUCCGACAUGCUCGAAAAGCAUAUGGAAGUCUUCAUGGAUGACUUCUCGGUCUUUGGAUCCUCAUUUGAUAACUGUUUAACUAAUCUCUCUCUUGUUUUAGACAGGUGCCAAAAAACAAAUUUAAUUAUGAACUGGGAGAAAUGUCACUUCAUGGUGCGAGAAGGGAUAUUAUUGGGUCACAAAAUUUCCUACAAGGGAAUUGAAGUUGACCAAGCAAAAGAGGAAGUGAUAUUGUAGCGGUAAAUUCAUGAUCAUCAAGCUAUGGAUAAGCAAGACAUCAAAUAACAAGAGUCACCACCGCACUUUUAUUGUUUCCAAGGGAAAAGGGAAAAGUACGAACAAAACCCAAAAAUAAGAAGUUUUCAAAUCAAAACUAAUAAAAUACCAGAGAUUACAGGUAAGGGGGUUGGUUACACAGAGGGAAGGUGUUAGUACCCAAAGUGUCCUAGGUACUCCUAGGGAGCCCUUUCUUGUGUGCAUAUGUACUUUGUACAAAAUGAUGUUUACAAACAAAUAGAAUGGGGGGAUGAGAAAAGAAUUCAUUAAUCAUAUUUUUGUGUUUGACAAGACCUUCGGACUUGUGCCUACGUACCAACAUAAAAAUGAGGGAUCAAAACCUCAUAGUUCGUGAUAUCAAUUUCAAAGUGAGCGAAUUGCUUUUAACAAAAAUUUAAGUUUAAAAGGCACAAGGGCCUAGAAAAUGGUUUGAAUGAGUUAGUUCUUUUUGGAUUUUGAAAAUUUUAAGUCAAGUAUAGUUAAGUUUAUUUACAAGUUUGAUUUAAGAAAAUAAGUUUUUAAAAAAUGCAAUGGCAUAAGGCCAAAGUUUGUAAUUUGCAAAGGGUCUAUGUUUUAAAAAAAAGACAAGUACAAACAAAGAAGUGUUUUUCAAAGGAGGGAGAGAUUUUGAAAUUAAAGAGACGGGGAGGAGAUGAAGAGACUAAUCCUAAGCAUAAAUUUAAAAGUUAAGAGUUGAAAAGAUCUAACCAAUGGGCUGCAAUCCAAUAGACAAGAAUGUCAUAUAGAAACCCCAAAUUCCCUUGGACAUUAGAAUCAAGCAACAAACAAUGAAUACCAUAUUAACUUGAAGAGCAAAGCAUCAAAUGAAGAUAGCCACAUCCAGACUUUAGCCACUCCAUGAUCUUAUUCAAAUUUGCCCAUGUAACAGAUGAAUUCCAUAAGUCAUAGGUUCAAAGUAACAACUUCACAAUGAUCAUGUUGCAGAUGAACUCAAAGGGAUCUUCAAUGAUGUAUCAGAUGAAGUUUCAAAUUACAAGCACUUGGUUACAUGAAAGUUGGCAUUGGCCAAGUCCUUUGCAUAGGGAGUCUUGCCUAAAUUCUAAGUCCAAUUGUCUCAGAUCAAACCAACAGUCCACACAAGAAUUUUUUAGGGUUUUUGUUCUUAUUAUGUACAUUAAUGGUCAAAGACCACACAAGCAAACACAAUAUACACAAGCAAAAUAUAUCACAAAAUAUGGUCCAAAUGGACAAAGUGAAAAUGACAUUAACAUAAACAAUUAGGAUGGUAUGAAUAAUGGCAAAUGAACAAAGCUUAAAAAUAAAGUGCAUUAAAAGUAAAGGACUUGAAAUUAAAUGUUAGUUGUUAAUGAGUUAGAAGUUAGUAUUGCUUUUUCUUUUUUUGUUUAAGUCAUUCUUUGGAGAAUACUCAACCCGCUUAUCACAAGCAUGGAUCCUUCAACCAAGACGACUUCCAAAGGAAGGAAAAAAGGCCAAGUUUCCACAUAAUACCAUGAAAGAGGGGAGACUUACAAUCUCACUAACUAGAAUAUUAUGCCUUUUUGUAUCAAAAAUUUAGUGCUAUGUUAAGCAAUCGUAAUUGGACUUAUGUAGAAGUCACAACUAUUUGAGGUCGGAUAAUAGAAUUUUGGUGUUAAUGCAUGUUAGAGACAUAUUAUAAUGGACUAUGCUCAUGAAACAUACCACACACAAAAAGAAUAUGCAAAAGAGGUGGCCUAAUCUCAUCCAUACUUAUGUUGAUUUUUAAUCAACCAGCCUUAGGACCUUGAGAUAUCAUAGGACCAUGGUAUGAAUGCAUAAAGAAGGGGAAUAAGAUGAAGAGGGAGGGUAAUGGAUCAAAACUCAAAUUGGACAAAGGAGGAUUUUUACCAAAUUAAGAUCAUUCAUUCAUUUUGGGAGAUGGAAUGUACAUUCCAUCAAUCCCCUAAAUCCAAUGAUCUUAACCUAGCAAAGUCAAAUAAACCUUGACCUAGGCUCAACAACACAAGUCAAACUUAUACAAAUAAUCAAAAUGGCUUAACACAAUUAUUUGGCAUUUAUUCAAUUUAAAAAUUCUAAAAAUAAUGCAUUAAAUAAAAUAUGGUUUGUCAAAUUCCUAAAACCUCAUCAAAACACCAAGGAAAUGGCCAUGAGAUUUAUCAUAGGUCAAACAAAGUCAAAGGACCUUGGAGAAAAAAUUCAGAAUUUUUGGAGACUUAAAAGUAUUUUUCAACAAUUAAAAAUAUUCACAAAAUCAACUAAAUCAUGAAAAAUAUUAAUAAUGAUCCAAAAAAUAAUUUUAAUUCAAAAUAUGAAAGAGGAUUUUAUUUAAUUUUUUUUUGGUGAAACUCUCAUAUUUUUUGGAUCAAUAUUAAAACUAAUAUGAAUUAAUGAAAAUAAAACAAAUUAAAUGAAAUUCAAAUAAUCAGAAAAAAACGUGGACCACUUGAUCUCCCUUACCAAUUGAGGUGGGAGAUCAAGUGGUCUAAAACGCGCAUUCCACCAAACACACGAGUCAACGCGCCACACCAAUGGUAUUCAAAAGCAACGCUCAAGAUUAAAACGAUUUGAACUGAUCAUGUGGCUCAGAACCUAUCCAGCACACCACCGAUGCUGAAACUCCGGUCACCUUCUCAGGCGAGGCUCACCGGACUGGUUCAGUCAUCACCAUCACAUAAAUGAAAAAGGAGGACAUGAUCUGAAAGAAAAAAAGGCGUAGAGCACGAAUCUGACCUCAAUUUUAACUAACUCCACAUAUAUAGAAAGAUAUGAGGAAUUGAAUUUUGAGGUGUGUCAACUGAGUUGCUUCGAUUUGACCUCAAAGUAACUCAAUCUUCUUGCCUACAUUGGUAGGACUUCAGACUACCAAAGAUCCAAGAGAAUUGAUGAGAAUUGAGUGAGAAUCGAAGAGAAGAAAAUUUCUGAAAAAUACCUUCAAUGAUGUGCAGAACUGGAUCUUGCUUGCUUCAAACUUUGCUUGAUCACCUUCAGGAAGCUUGUAGAAGUGGCUUGGCAAUGGAACAAAGCUUUGGAUCCUGGAGUUUUUGAAUCUCCAAACAGUGAGAUUCUUGCUUGCUUCAAACUUUGCUUGAUCACCUUCAGGAAGCUUGUAGAAGUGGCUUGGCAAUGGAACAAAGCUUUGGAUCCUGGAGUUUUUGAAUCUCCAAACAGUGAGAUUCAAACUCAAUUUUUAGAUCGAAAAUUCUCAAGUUUUCCUUUGAAUUGUGAGGGUUUGAAAAGAGGGGGCAAAGCUGGCGCGCAAGGGAUCCUUCAAAUGAGCUCAGAGGCGUUGUAUUUAUAGCAUGAAGGAGUGAUAUUUGCACACUUCAAGUUUCCAAUUUUGGAAAUUGCAUGAUGCAAGCUUGCAUAGGCGUGUACAGGCCUAUGAAGCAAUCCAUUUAGGUUCAAAUUCAACUGUUUUGAAGUCUCAAAGAAGCUUGAAUAGCAAGACAAUGUGAAAUGGUGUUUUGGACAUUUGAUCUUUCCACUUGAUGCAGACCUGUUAAGAUCAUGUGCAGCCCUAGCAACCUCAUCCAAAAUGCAUGAAAUAGGACUAUUUGGAAAACUUAGAUCAAGGGGAACAACUUUGAUGUUGGACACUUUUCCAUUUGGAACUUGGAUCAAGGUGAAUUUUGAGGUGGAAGUUUGGAAAUUUCAACAUGUUGAAAUUUUUUUGAAGUGUCAAGUCAUAUACCUCAAUGUUCCAUCUUACUUAACUUUUCAUGUGAGCUCCAAAUUAAAAGCAUGUCUUCAUCAAAGUUUCAGGUCUUUCAAAGACCUUAAAAAUGGUCACCAAUUUCAUGUCAUUUGGAAAAUCACUUGUUCAAUGGUAUAGGGAAAAAAUGACCUAUAAUGUAUCCUCAUAUCAUAUGCUCAUAAAAGUUGAAUUAGCUCUCACUCCAAACAUAAAAGUUGAAUUAGCUCUCACUCCAAACAUAAAGUUGAAUUAGACAUCUUGAAUUUGAUUGUGCAACUUGGAAAUCUUUCAUAUCAUAAAAAUUGAGCAAGUUAUUACCUUGGGAAGUUGACUUUCAAAUUCGGGUUUAGACAAAAUGACUUAUAAUCUUUCUACAUAGAAAAUGAUUUUACAAGCAAAACUAGAUCUAGGUCUCAACAUGAAAGUUGUUUGUAAUGUCAUUCAGAGUAACUUUGCGCUUGGAAGAAUUUUCAUAUGGUGAAAAUUAUAGGAGAUAAUGUCAUUUAGAGUAACUUUGCUCUUUGCGUUUGUAAUGGUCUUACUCUAUAUCUGAAAAAUCCAUCCAUAAACGAAAAAACUUUGAAUUUAGCAGUAUUGUCUACCAACAUAUCAAUGUGUGGCAGAGGGAAAUCAUCUUUCGGGCUGACUUUAUUCAAACCUCUAUAAUCAACAAACAUGCGGACUUUUCCAUCUUUCUUUGGCACAUGCACAAUGUUGGCCACCCAUUGCGGAUACUCAGUGUUCACAAGGAAACCGACAUCAAUCUGCUUUUGCACUUCUUCUUUGACCUUCACUGCUAUGUCAGGAUGCAUUCUUCUCAACUUCUGCUCGACUGGCGGACAUUCUGGCUUCAACGACAAUCUAUGCUCCACAAUCUCAGAAUCCAAACCAGGCAUGUCUUGAUAGGACCAAGCAAACACAUCCGAGUACUCUCGAAGAAGAUCAACCAACCCCUUCUUCGCAUCUGGACACAGUCGAGACCCAAUAUUGACUUCCUUCACAUCAUCCUCGGAACCCAAGUUGACUAACUCAAUCUGCUCUUCGAAUGGCCGAAUGGCUUUUCCUUCAUGCUCAAGAAGACGAGACAAUUCAUCACUCACUUCUUCAUCACUUUCCUCCUCGGCCUCAAACACAGGGAAUUCAAAAUUUGGAGAAGGAGAAGGAUCAUUGUACUCAAUGAGGUUAGGAACCAACCUGCAUAAUGAUUUGAUAUUUUGAUUUUAGAGAAGUGAAUUUGUGACCAAACAUUAUGCAGAUGGACAAUUAUAUUGUUUAUUUAUGUUUUUUGUUAUUACCAUUUUCAGAAUAAAGCAAAAAGUAAAAAUAAAACAUCAUAGAUGUGAUUGAAUAGAAUUGAUUUUAUUGAUGAUCAAAUUUGAAAUGCCUAACAAUGUUCACUUACCCCUUAGACAUAGGAGAAGGAUUUUUAAAACAAAUAAAAACAAUUACUUAGAUCGAUGCAAACUAACAGGAAUAUCAACAACAAUCCAAUUGUUGCAAGCCUUUCCAUGCGUCACAAAAUUGGUGCAGUCAUCUUCAUCGUCAUCCUCUAGCACUGCAGCUAAGUGUUGUUCAUUUCCAUGAAUGAACCCUCCGCUACGGAAGCUAAGUUGCAUAUCCUCUGAUCUAGCAGUUGAUGGACCUUGUAGAAAACCCAUACCGAUUCUGCUCUUGUUGUCGGAGACCUCUACCAUGCGCCCCCCACUGAUCCACAUUACCUUCUUCAACAAUCUUCCUUGCAUCUUUCAAUGAGGACAUAGGUGCCCGAACUCUCUUUUCAACAGCAAUAGAUAAGGCUUGGAACAGAGUUCCAACCUCAUCCUCAGCUUCAACGUAAGAGAAAGAUGACAAGUGGCUAACCAACAACGCCUUUUCCACGCCAACAAUAAUAAGCUUCCCAUUUUUGACAAAUUUGAGUUUCUGAUCCAACGUGGAAGUAACAACUCCUGCCUCAUGAAUCCAUGGCCUUCCCAAUAGACAACUGUAGGUCGGGUGGAUAUCCAUUACUUGAAAAGUAAUCUGGAAGUCACUCGGGCCUAUCUUCACCGAAAGGUCCACUUCACCUAUCAUUGUCUUGCGUGAACCGUUAAAAGCUUUGACGGUUACACCACUAUACCUCAUAGGAGCUCCUUGAUAUGACAGCUUUGAAAGAGUUAACUUUGGCAGCACAUUCAAUGAAGACUUGGUGUCAACUAAUACAUUGGAUAAAGCGUCAUCUUUGCAAUUCAUGGAGAUAUGCAAAGCCAAGUUAUGAUUACUACCCUCCUCAGGGAGUUCUUCAUCAUAGAAGUUGAGAUUUUUGCAGGAAGUGAUGUUAGCUACAAUAUGAUCAAACUGAUCCACCGUAACAUCAUGUUCCAUGAAAGCUUGCUUUAGAACUCUUUGUAGUACUUCUCUGUGCGCUUCUGAAUUCAUAAGCAGAGACAAUACUGAAAUCUUUGAGGGGGUUUGGAGCAACUGCUCCAUCAUGUUGAACUCACUUUUCUUUAUCAGCCUAAGUACCUCAUCAUCAUCAUUAGUUUUCAAAUUGAUGGAUUCACCAGACUGACGCUUUAAAGUGCUAAUCAGAUCUACUUUAGGUACUUCCACCUUCUUACCAAUUGUUGAAUCUUCUACAUCUUUUGGGAACACCGACCCAAACACUCGACCGCUACGGGUCACCUUAGUAACAUCAACAAUACUCACGACAAAACUGGUUGUAGGUAACGGUACCUCUUGACCAUCCUUCAACAUAGUUGCAUUAUACUGAUACGGAACAGCCUUAUCGGAUGAAUACGGGACUGGGCCCAUUAACCGUAUGACCAACGGCGAUACCGAUCUUUGACUGAUAUUAUUACUGUUACUGCUGUCAUACUGAAUCACCAUUCUCUCGGGAUUCUUAAACACUGGAACGAUCACAUUCACAUCAUCAUCUUCAUGACGGGAUUGAACAAUCUGAACCAUACCCUCAUCCAUCAACCGCUGGAUGUCUCUUUUCACAAUCAUACAACCCCUCGGGUUGAAACUGCAGAUAGCACAACCAUCAUGGUCACGCUCACAAUCGCUUACCAUAGAAAUGUGCUUAUAUAUUGUUACUAAAGAUCUUCUAAUGAAAUGGACAUCAAACAUUUUGAACUCCCCAGAACAGUCGUCUACCAUAUUGAAGCAAGCAGAAAUAUACCCGAACGUAUUGCACCCUCGAACAUACAACAGAGUCGCCAUCGAACUUUAUUUAUCCCCAAAGGGAAGGGAAACAUCGAAAAAACCCGGGGGAAAGAGAUAUACUGGGUAAGGAAGUCGGUUAUGCAAGGAGAAGGUAUUAGCACCCCAAACAUCCAUGGUACUCCAUGGGAACCUUUUUGAUUGUUCUUGCUCAAAUAGGUGUGAUAUCUAAAGAUUACUCGCAAAAGAAUAAGGGGAAAGGAAAGGAAAUAGAUAGAGUGCUCGGUGAGGAUUAGGGACCUCAUGCCUACGUAUCCUCAUAAUGCAAUAAGGAAUUCAGAGCUUCGUAGUUCAAGGAACUAGAGGAAGGAGGUGAAAAGGAGUGUGAUCAAGGUAUGGUUUGAGCCAAAGGAUAAUUUUGUUUGAACUCCAAGAGAGGGUGAAAACGUGAACCCAAGAGUAAACAAGUUGUUUGAACCAACAAGUGAGGGUGUAGAGCACUUAUAUCACUAUAUUGGAACAACCGAAAAGAGAGGAAUUAGGUGUUUGGGGUGAGAGCCAAACAACUCUUGGUUCACAAGGAGGUACAAGAUGGAGCACAAAAGUAUAUUGUAUUUGGCUCAAAGAAUAGGUAUAUCACGUGGAGUGAAAGAAGGUAGUAUAUGAAUGUAUCAUGGGAUGAACGAAAUGAAGUGACCGAAGUCAUAGAAUAGAGUAUCUGGUAACAAGUGAUGAAGAAAUAUUGUUUGAAAUCAAAAGGUGAAAAUGUAUUGGAAUCCAUAAGAGAAGUGAGAUUUCUACCAUAGAUGGAAACAUCAUUAACCGAUACGUGGACUAGCAGGCCGCCACUGUAAGGUUUUGGCCAAAAAGAAGGAAUUAAAUGUUUGGGAUGGGAGCCAAACAACUCUAGGUAUGAAAUUAAGACUAUUCAUUAGGCGUCCUAAAAGGGUAUGUGUGGAAUUCCAAGGAAAGUGUAUUUCGAUGUCAAAGAGACAGUAUGUCACUGGGCGAACGGUUCAUGAUCGAAGGUAGAUAAUGAAUAGUGAAAGAUAUGAGUGGUGCCCUAAGGCGGAAGAGGAAUAAUUAGAAGUAUUCUCGCAGAGGAUUCGCAUCCUCGUGCCUACGUAUUCUUAUUGUGAAAUGAGAAAAUCAGAGCAAUCGUAGUUCGAAACUACGAGAAUAGAGAGAAAGAGAUGUUUGUCUAAGCAACAGGGACUCACAAGAAAA
This 37918-nucleotide long non-coding RNA is filed under the name Lathyrus oleraceus (garden pea). RNAcentral describes it as "Pisum sativum (pea) long non-coding RNA (PSAT_LNC011998)". The stretch from base 22700 to 22806 matches the Rfam family "Plant small nucleolar RNA R71". Lineage: Eukaryota; Viridiplantae; Streptophyta; Magnoliopsida; Fabales; Fabaceae. The record is from RNAcentral.